This 910-nucleotide ribosomal RNA is filed under the name uncultured Bacteroidota bacterium. Its description in RNAcentral is "bacterial SSU rRNA". It matches the Rfam family "Bacterial small subunit ribosomal RNA", at positions 46 to 952 of the family's 1533-position model. The record is from RNAcentral. Lineage: Bacteria; Pseudomonadati; Bacteroidota.
GCCUACACAUGCAAGUCGAACGGUAACUUUUGGUGCUUGCACCGAAAGACGAGUGGCGAACGGGUGCGUAACGCGUAUGCAAUCUACCUUUUACUAGGGUAUAGCCCAGAGAAAUUUGGAUUAAUCCCCUAUAAUAUCAUUUAAUCGCAUGAUUUUAUGAUUAAAGCUUCGGCGGUAAAAGAUGAGCAUGCGUCCUAUUAGUUAGUAGGUGAGGUAACGGCUCACCUAGACUCCGAUAGGUAGGGGUCCUGAGAGGGAGAUCCCCCACACUGGUACUGAGACACGGACCAGACUCCUACGGGAGGCAGCAGUGAGGAAUAUUGGACAAUGGACGAAAGUCUGAUCCAGCUAUGCCGCGUGCAGGAUGACGGCCCUAUGGGUUGUAAACUGCUUUUAUACAGGAAGAAAAACUCCGACGUGUCGGAACUUGACGGUACUGUAAGAAUAAGGAUCGGCUAACUCCGUGCCAGCAGCCGCGGUAAUACGGAGGAUCCAAGCGUUAUCCGGAAUCAUUGGGUUUAAAGGGUCCGUAGGCGGUUUUUUAAGUCAGAGGUGAAAUCCUGCAGCUCAACUGUAGAAUUGCCUUUGAUACUGAAAGACUUGAGUUAUUGUGAAGUGGUUAGAAUGUGUGGUGUAGCGGUGAAAUGCAUAGAUAUCACACAGAAUACCAAUUGCGAAGGCAGAUCACUAACAAUUAACUGACGCUCAGGGACGAAAGUGUGGGGAGCAAACAGGAUUAGAUACCCUGGUAGUCCACACCGUAAACGAUGAAUGCCAGUCGUCGGGUAGCAUGCUAUUCGGUGACACACCUAACGGAUUAAGCAUUCCGCCUGGGGAGUACGGUCGCAAGAUUAAAACUCAAAGGAAUUGACGGGGGCCCCCCCAAGCGGUGGAGCAUGUGGUUUAAUUC